RNAcentral lists this ribosomal RNA (429 nucleotides) under bacterium. Its description in RNAcentral is "partial 16S ribosomal RNA". It matches the Rfam family "Bacterial small subunit ribosomal RNA", at positions 355 to 776 of the family's 1533-position model. The record is from RNAcentral. RNAcentral also lists the same sequence under 5 other names.
UAGGGAAUCUUCCACAAUGGACGAAAGUCUGAUGGAGCAACGCCGCGUGAGUGAAGAAGGGUUUCGGCUCGUAAAACUCUGUUGUUAAAGAAGAACAUAUCUGAGAGUAACUGUUCAGGUAUUGACGGUAUUUAACCAGAAAGCCACGGCUAACUACGUGCCAGCAGCCGCGGUAAUACGUAGGUGGCAAGCGUUGUCCGGAUUUAUUGGGCGUAAAGCGAGCGCAGGCGGUUUUUUAAGUCUGAUGUGAAAGCCUUCGGCUCAACCGAAGAAGUGCAUCGGAAACUGGGAAACUUGAGUGCAGAAGAGGACAGUGGAACUCCAUGUGUAGCGGUGAAAUGCGUAGAUAUAUGGAAGAACACCAGUGGCGAAGGCGGCUGUCUGGUCUGUAACUGACGCUGAGGCUCGAAAGUAUGGGUAGCAAACAGG